GUGUCCGUAGUGUAGUGGUUGUCAUGUUCGCCUAACACGCGAAAGGUCCCUGGUUUGAAACCGGGUGGACACA
Molecule: transfer RNA, 73 nt
Filed under: Petromyzon marinus (sea lamprey)
Lineage: Eukaryota; Metazoa; Chordata; Hyperoartia; Petromyzontiformes; Petromyzontidae
Description: tRNA-Val (AAC) (tRNA-Val-AAC-48-1)
Rfam family: tRNA
About the family: Transfer RNA (tRNA) molecules are approximately 80 nucleotides in length. Their secondary structure includes four short double-helical elements and three loops (D, anti-codon, and T loops). Further hydrogen bonds mediate the characteristic L-shaped molecular structure. tRNAs have two regions of fundamental functional importance: the anti-codon, which is responsible for specific mRNA codon recognition, and the 3' end, to which the tRNAs corresponding amino acid is attached (by aminoacyl-tRNA synthetases). tRNAs cope with the degeneracy of the genetic code in two manners: having more than one tRNA (with a specific anti-codon) for a particular amino acid; and 'wobble' base-pairing, i.e. permitting non-standard base-pairing at the 3rd anti-codon position.
Source: RNAcentral